Molecule: ribosomal RNA, 253 nt
Filed under: uncultured bacterium
Lineage: Bacteria
Description: partial 16S ribosomal RNA
Rfam family: Bacterial small subunit ribosomal RNA
Source: RNAcentral
UACGGAGGGGGUUAGCGUUGUUCGGAAUGACUGGGCGUAAAACGCGCGUAGGCGGAUCGGAAAGUUGGGGGUGAAAGCCCAGGGCUCAACCCUGGAAUUGCCUUCAAAACUCCUGGUCUUGAGGUCGAGAGAGGUGAGUGGAAUUCCGAGUGUAGAGGUGAAAUUCGUAGAUAUUCGGAGGAACACCAGUGGCGAAGGCGGCUCACUGGCUCGAUACUGACGCUGAGGUGCGAAAGCGUGGGGAGCAAACAGG